UUUUUUGUUUUUGCUGUUGAGCUGUAUAAAUUGUUUGUAUAUUUUUAGAGAUUAAGCUCUUGUCAAUUGCAUCAUUUGAAACUAUUUUCUCCCAUUCCAAAGUUUUUUUUUUUUUUUAUGGUUUCCUUUGCUGUGCAAAAGAUGUGAUAUCUUAAAUGAUGCCUUGGUUUCUUUCUUUCUUUCUUUUUUUAGGGCCUCACCCACAGCAUAUGGACGUUCCCAGGAUAGGGGUCGAAUUGGAUCUGAGCCAUGUCUGUGACCCACACCACAGCUCACGGCAACACUGGAUCCUUAACCCACUGAGCAUGGCCAGGAAUCAAACCCACAUCCUCACAGAUACUAGUCAGGUUUGUUACUGCUGAGCUACAAUGGGAACUCUGACUCCGUGGUUUCUGUUAGGGAAUAUGGGGUGGCCUUUGGGGAAGGAGUGAACUUGAUGUUGCAUAUAUUGGAUUUUAGCUGCCAAUGAAGAUGCCCAUGACUAGACAUAGAAAUUUGAUAUUCAGUGAAGACCUGAGUCAGUCCAAGAAUCUAAUCACAUAAAUGGCAAUUGCAGGAGCCCCAGCUGAAAUGGAGAGAGAGGAAGGAAAGAAGGGAAGAAAGAAAAUAGGGAAAGGAGGAAGUGCUAUUGGCUUACAUAUCUGUAAAGUCAAGGGGUAACUACUACAGCUUCAAACACAAAUGGAUCCAAGGGCCCAUGUGAUGUUACUGGUCAGUUUCCUUUCCUACCAUCUCUUGACUCUGGUGUCUCGGGUGCUGGCUGCUUAUCAAGCAAGUUGACCCUUCAUAGAAACAAGAUGUCUGCCAUCAGUUUCAGGUUUAUGUUUUAUUUUCCCAACAACCUUAACAGAAAGAAGAUGUCUCUUUUCCAAUACCUCUGACAAAAGGAGUGAUCACAAGUGAUGGGACGAGCUUGGGCCAUGUGCCAUCUCUAACCUAACACUACAGCGAGAGGGAAGAGAAUCCCUAUUUGCCACCCCUUGUCACAUGCAACCUAAAAUGCAAUCGAAUGAGAAGUAAGAGGAGCUCCCUGGUGGCACAGUGGGUUAAGGAUCUGGUGUGGUCCAUGCUGUGGCUCAGGCCACUGCUGUGGUGCAAGUUCGAUCCCUGGCCUGGGAACUUCCACAUGCCACAGGUAUGGCCAAAAAGGAAAAAAAGUGAAGUAGGAGAAAUAAGUGAUUCCCCAAGGAAAAUAUUCCAGAAAGAGGAAAAGAUGCUGGGUAGAAAGAAUAGCAGAUGUCUCAGGGGAAACAGCCUAGGAGAAACACUCCUUAGGGGCUUCUCUUCCCUAGAAGGCCUCUUUGAAGGUUGAUCUAAGGGUGCUGAUGGUCCUUAUAGUUCAAGGAGUCAAAAAAGAUUUUUUGUAAGAAACGUUAAGUCGAGAGGAUAAAUGCUGACUGAGGACAUAUCUGCCACCUAUGAAAGCAUGUAGCUCCGAUCGCUCUGUUUCACCCUCCUCCUUCUACUCCAGUAGCCAACAAGUUGACUUUGAUACCCAGCGUUCCCCAGUCUCCAGUAUCACUUUGAUCUCUGCUGUUUUAUUUGGUAGAAUGGUUGAGAAGGAUAAAAAGGAAAUUAAGGGUUCCUGUUGUGGCUCAGUGGGUACAGGACCCAACAUCGUCUUUAUGAGGAUGCAGGUUCAAUCCCUGACCUCGCUCAGUGGGUAAAGGACCCAACAUUGCUACAAGCUGCAGCGUAGUCUGCAGAUGUGGCUUGGAUCCUGCAUUGCUGUGGCUGUGGCACAGGCUGUGGAACUGCAGCUCUAAUUCAACCCCUAGCCUGAGAACUUCCAUAUGCCACGGCCAAAAAAUAAGUAAAUAAUCUAAAAAUUAAAAUGUCAAUGUCAGAAAAUAACAAGCACUGGAAAAGAAAUGGGGGAGGGCACAACUGUCAGACGUUGUGGGUGGAAGUUAUAAACUGGCGCCGUGAAUCCAGAGAGCAAGAUCUACAAAACUUAAAAGCCUGGAACCCAACAGCUCUGUUUCUAACUAGAGUCCACAGAGAAACUUCUCUCACUUGUGUACAAGGAGGCAUACACAAGGGUAUUUCCUGUUGGUAACGUGAGGGAAAGUAAGCCACUGAAAGGUCUCUUAUCAGGGAAUGGAUAAAUAAAAGAUGGCCUGUUCGUUCUGCAGAACACUGUCUAUAGUUAAGAGGAAUAAUCUAGGUCAAUGUACAUCACCACGAAAGGAUCUCAGAUAUACAGACUUGACUGAAAAGGCAAAUUGGCAGAAUGAUACAUAAAGUACAAUAUCAUUGACCGAAGUGAUUUUUAGAAAUAUAGGUUCUGGGACUAGAGAAGAGUGAAGAGGGGAUUUCUUCGACACCAGAGCAAUUUUUGGUUAAAACGCAACAUCUCCAUUUCCAAACUCUGCCAUUUCUUUCUGAAACCAUCCCCACCUUUGUCUUCCUCCUUUUCCUUUCAGUUUUUCUCUCUCUCUCCUCCCUCUGCCUCCCUCUUCCUCCCUCUCUUCCUCCCUCUCUCUCUCUCCCCCCCCCCACUCUCCUAGAAUUUCCCCUAAGUCUAAGUUCCAUGAGUGGGUUUCAGAGAAAACUAUAAAUCCCUUGACAUUAUAAGUACAAUGUCCUGUUUCUGAGUAUUAUUCCUGGGGAAUGGGCCCAUAGCUUUUAUCAGGUGACCAGAGAGGUCAGUGUAUAUGCAAUUAAAAUUCAAAGGAAAAAAUUUUAUUCAAAGGAACAUGGAACUCUGAUACAGUUUCCUUGGUCCCUCGUACCCUGGGAGUAAGAGUUAUUUCUCAUCAGGAGAAAAAAAAGAAAAGAGAGAGAAAACGUGAAGUGAUUUGUUCUGAUCCUGUUUCCACUAGCCAAGUGCCCUGGGAGAAAAUGCCCUGCCUUUGGAAACACAAACACCUCCAUCCUCCCCAGCCUUCCAGACCUCCCAUCCAUCAUCUCAGCAGGCUCUGGGCAGCAGCAGCCGGCCUCCUUCAUGGCCACACGUGACCCUUUCCAUCAGACAUCAGGGUCCAGCUCUGGCCAGCUUGUUGACAAUUAUGAAGAGUCUUCUAACCCAGGCAAGCAGCCUCUGCACCACCUAGAGUACUCCAGAGCUGGGAAAGCAUCAAGAGUCCAGGAAAGUGUCACCUGUUUGGCAGAGGAUGCCGAGGCAGUGGGCCCACACCCACCGAUCCAGGCACAGCUCCAUGGGCUCCCCAGGGCCUGGGCUCUGCAUGGGCUCCUCUGGAACCUGGGGUUGUGGGUCCCAUAGUUCUGUGCUCUAAACUCAUAGGCUGAGAUGAAGACAAAUACUACAUUCUCCUGCCAUCAGCUGAGGGUCAGUCGGGUGGCGCUGCUGAUCUUGCCUGGCCUGCUCCCAUGUUCAGGUGUCAGCUGGCUGUCAGCUGAUCUGGACCGGCCUUUGACAGGUGCCUGGGCUCGCUCUGCUCCCAGUGUUUCUCAUGCCCCAGCACUCUAGCCUGAGGUUCUCACGGCACACAGAAAGGCACAAGAGAGCAAGCACUGAGCCCAUGUCAAGCCUCUGCUCGCAUCAUAUCUGCAAAUACCCCGUUGACCAAAGCAAGUCUCAUGGCCAUGCUUGUCACCCUGCCCGCAGUGAGCAGGCACUGCAAACCAGGUAGGAGCCUGCGUUUGGGGGUCAGGCUCUGCCUCUUACCAAGGACGUCUCUUAAAUUCUCUGAGCAAAUAAGACACUACUCUUCACCUAUUGGAUUAAUGGGGAAAAAAAUAUUUUUUUUUUUUUCGCUCUGGCAAUAAAUAGUCCAGAACGGAGGUGGAGUAAUAGGCACCUUAACACAUUAUUGGUGGGAUUUUUAUUCUUUUCAAAGGGUAAUUGAAUCCUAUUUAUUGCACUAGGUUGCAAAAUGGCCCCAAUUUCUUCUCAGCCCCGUGUGCAUGUCCCCUUUUCAGUGUAACUCUGCAGCCCCUCCCCCCCAUGAAUAUGGGUAAGUCAUGUGACUUGUUUAGGCCAAAGGGGUGAUAGCAAAGGUGACCCAUGCAAAGGUUUUAACAGUACUUGUCCCUGGGGAAUGGCCUCUCUUCCCUGUACUUAGAAACCUGAAACCACUCUGCAAAUGAGCCCAAGCCAGCCUGCUAUAGGAUGAGAGGCUGCAAAGAGGCAAGUUAAGGUGCCUCAGUGGAGCUGUUUCGACUGGUCAGAUGCAUGAGUGAUCCCAGCCAGGACCAGCCACGCCAGCUGAGCCCAGGCCAACCCACCGAAUCCCAAAAUCCCAGGAAGAGCUAAUAUAAGAUGCCAGUUCAUUUCAUCACCUCCUCAUAGGGGUAAGAUUUUUCAAAAGCAGAGCUAUGAUGUUGCUUCACUCAAUCAAGAUCCAUUAAGCCCCUACCCUUCCAUGCUAGGAUUGUUCUAGGCACUGAUGAUCUAACAGUGGGGAAGCAGAGGAGUGGGGGAUGAAAAAUGUCCCUGCUUCAUAAAGCUUGUGUUCUAGGAGUAAGUGGCGGAAAAUUUUUUAAAUUACUAGGUACCAUGCGUUGAACAAUAGUGAUAAGUGCUCUGGAGAAAAACAGUAACAAUGGAGAGCAUUGUUCCAGGCGCAGUUUCAGUGGGGAUGGGGAGUGUUGCAGUGGGUCUUGUAGACAAAACCUCUGUGAGAAGGAGGUAACGUGAAGACUUGAGUGAACGCGCCUCACUGAAAUCUAGGGGGAUGGAGCUCCUGUCGUGGCUCAGUGGGUUAAGAACCCAACUAGCAUCCAUGAGGACGCAGGCUUGAUCCCUGGCCUUGCUCAGUGGGUUAAGGAUCCAGCGUGGCCAUGAGCUGUGUUUGCACGUCGCAGACGCAGCUUCGAUCUGACUUUGCUAUGGCUGUGGUGUAGGCUGGCAGCUACAGCUCCGAUUCAACCCCUAGCCUGGGCACUUCCAUAUGCCAUGGGUGAAGCCCUAAAAAGACAAAAGAGAAAGAAAUCAAUCCCAGUCCUCCUGGGAGAGGGAACGAAAAGGCAAAGAUGGACUUCCCAGGGUGGGCUGGAGCCUGGGGAGACUGUAGGAUUUGAAGGCAGAGAGAUGAAACAGGGGACAGGCUGUGUAGGAGCUUGUGGGUCACUACUAGGAGUUUCUGGUAAACUCCUGCACUGUUCCAAUUUCUUUUUUUAACCAAACGUAUGUGUUCCUUUCAAAACAAUAAUUUUGAAGAAAUAGAGCCAAAACAAAUAACAAUCCUGAGCUGCUCUCCCAGAUCCUAAUAUGAGUGGACUCUACGUGCAGUUUAUCAUAAUCCCCCGCCACUGCAUUCUUAGAGCAUUCCAGAGCCUGCUGGAGGAGACAGUCAUUGUUGGGCACAGGCUGCCCCCUGCUGGUCACAUUUGGAUGAGCACCCACAAGUGUCACCUGAAGAAGCAAAGUUGUCCCAGGAGAAGCCAGGUAUAACCAGUUAUCAGAAUGCCCUAUCUUCCUUGCCAGCAAGCUUGAAUUCCUCAGAGGCCCCUGAAGGACAGUAUGUGGGGGAAGACAUCUCCCAAAGCUUCACACACAGUCACCUCCUAUCCAUGCAUCCACUUCUGAAAGGACUCAAUUAUUUGCCCACUUGCUCAUUGGAUCCUCCACACAAACCCUGCAGGGCAACCUGGGGCAGAGUUGGGUGGGGGGUGAAGGGCUUGGUAGCCUGUCUUGCAGGUGAGAGGAUUGAGGCUUUGGGAGGCUGCGAGACUCGCAAUCAGCCUCAUGAGCCAGUGUGUGGGACCACAAGUCAGGAGCUCCCAACCCUGGAGUUCCCAUUGUGGCACAGUGGUUAACGAAUCCGACUAGGAACCAUGAGGUUGCGGGUUCGAUCCCUGGCCUCACUCAGUGGGUUUAGGAUCCGGUGUUGCCGUGAUCCCGAGUUGCUGUGGCUGUGGUGUAGGCCGGCGGCUACAGCUCCGAUUAGACCCUUAGCCUGGGAACCUCCAUAUGACACGGGAGCGGCCCUAGAAAAGGCAAAAAGACAAAAAGACAAAAAAAAAAAAAAAAAA
This 5940-nucleotide long non-coding RNA is filed under the name Sus scrofa (pig). RNAcentral describes it as "lncRNA (ENSSSCG00040012675.1)". The record is from RNAcentral. Lineage: Eukaryota; Metazoa; Chordata; Mammalia; Artiodactyla; Suidae.